AACGAACGCUGGCGGCGUGCCUAACACAUGCAAGUCGUGCGAGAAAGUUCCUUCGGGAGCGAGUAAAGCGGCGCACGGGUGAGUAACACGUAGGUAACCUGCCCCCCAGUCUGGAACAACUAGAGGAAACUCUAGCUAAUGCCGGAUGAGACCACGAUCCCUUCGGGGGUUGCGGCCAAAGAUGGCCUCUACUUGUAAGCUAUCGCUGAGGGAUGGGCCUGCGGGCCAUUAGCUUGUUGGUGAGGUAACGGCUCACCAAGGCUGUGAUGGCUAGCUGGUCUGAGAGGAUGACCAGCCACACUGGGACUGAGACACGGCCCAGACUCUACGGAGCAGCAGUGGGGAAUAUUGCGCAAUGGGCGAAAGCCUGACGCAGCGACGCCGCGUGGGUGAUGAAGGCCU
Molecule: ribosomal RNA, 402 nt
Filed under: uncultured bacterium
Lineage: Bacteria
Description: bacterial SSU rRNA
Rfam family: Bacterial small subunit ribosomal RNA
Source: RNAcentral